This 500-nucleotide ribosomal RNA is filed under the name uncultured Glomus. Its description in RNAcentral is "SSU rRNA". It matches the Rfam family "Eukaryotic small subunit ribosomal RNA", at positions 591 to 1092 of the family's 1831-position model. The record is from RNAcentral. Lineage: Eukaryota; Fungi; Glomeromycota; Glomeromycetes; Glomerales; Glomeraceae.
CCAAUAGCGUAUAUUAAAGUUGUUGCAGUUAAAAAGCUCGUAGUUGAAUUUCGGGAUCAAUACGUCGGUCGUGCCUCUGGUAUGUACUGGUGUUAUUGAUUUCUCCCUUCUGAUGAACCAUGAUGUCAUUCAUUUGGUGUUGUGUGGAGUCAGGACUGUUACUUUGAAAAAAUUAGAGUGUUUAAAGCAGGCUCACGCUUGAAUAACUUAGCAUGGAAUAAUGAAAUAGGACGUUCGAUCCUAUUUUGUUGGUUUCUAGGAUCAACGUAAUGAUUAAUAGGGAUAGUUGGGGGCAUUAGUAUUCAAUUGUCAGAGGUGAAAUUCUUGGAUUUAUUGAAGACUAACUACUGCGAAAGCAUUUGCCAAGGAUGUUUUCAUUACUCAAGAACGAAAGUUAGGGGAUCGAAGACGAUCAGAUACCGUCGUAGUCUUAACCAUAAACUAUGCCGACUAGGGAUCGGAUGAUGUUAAUUUUUUAAUGACUCAUUAGGCGCCUUACG